CAGGCCUAACACAUGCAAGUCGAGCGGAAACGACAACAAAGAUUCUUCGGAUGAUUUGUUGGGCGUCGAGCGGCGGACGGGUGAGUAAUGCUUAGGAAUUUGCCCAGUCGAGGGGGACAACAGUUGGAAACGACUGCUAAUACCGCAUACGCCCUACGGGGGAAAGAGGGGGAUGCUUCGGCACCUUUCGCGAUUGGAUAAGCCUAAGUGAGAUUAGCUAGAUGGUGAGGUAAUGGCUCACCAUGGCGACGAUCUCUAGCUGGUUUGAGAGGAUGAUCAGCCACACUGGAACUGAGACACGGUCCAGACUCCUACGGGAGGCAGCAGUGGGGAAUAUUGCACAAUGGGCGCAAGCCUGAUGCAGCCAUGCCGCGUGUAUGAAGAAGGCCUUCGGGUUGUAAAGUACUUUCAGCGAGGAGGAAAGGUUAACGGUUAAUACCCGUUAGCUGUGACGUUACUCGCAGAAGAAGCACCGGCUAACUCCGUGCCAGCAGCCGCGGUAAUACGGAGGGUGCGAGCGUUAAUCGGAAUUACUGGGCGUAAAGCGCAUGCAGGCGGUCUGUUAAGCGAGAUGUGAAAGCCCCGGGCUUAACCUGGGAACUGCAUUUCGAACUGGCAGACUAGAGUCUUGUAGAGGGAGGUAGAAUUUCAGGUGUAGCGGUGAAAUGCGUAGAGAUCUGAAGGAAUACCAGUGGCGAAGGCGGCCUCCUGGACAAAGACUGACGCUCA
RNAcentral lists this ribosomal RNA (729 nucleotides) under uncultured bacterium. RNAcentral's name for it is "bacterial SSU rRNA". It matches the Rfam family "Bacterial small subunit ribosomal RNA", at positions 43 to 749 of the family's 1533-position model. The record is from RNAcentral.